RNAcentral lists this ribosomal RNA (253 nucleotides) under uncultured bacterium. RNAcentral describes it as "partial 16S ribosomal RNA". It matches the Rfam family "Bacterial small subunit ribosomal RNA", at positions 524 to 776 of the family's 1533-position model. The record is from RNAcentral.
GACGAACCGUGCGAACGUUGUUCGGAAUCACUGGGCUUAAAGGGCGCGUAGGCGGCUCGCCAAGUCAGGGGUGAAAUACUUCAGCUUAACUGGAGAAGUGCCCUUGAUACUGGCGGGCUCGAGGGAGGUAGGGGUCUGUGGAACUUCUGGUGGAGCGGUGAAAUGCGUUGAUAUCAGAAGGAACGCCGGUGGCGAAAGCGGGUCUCUGGGCCGAAAUUGACGCUGAGGAGCGAAAGCGUGGGGAGCAAACAGG